RNAcentral lists this ribosomal RNA (400 nucleotides) under uncultured bacterium. RNAcentral's name for it is "bacterial SSU rRNA". It matches the Rfam family "Bacterial small subunit ribosomal RNA", at positions 355 to 756 of the family's 1533-position model. The record is from RNAcentral.
UGGGGAAUAUUGGGCAAUGGGGGAAACCCUGACCCAGAGACGCCGUGUGAGUGAAGAAGGCCUUAACUGGUUGUAAAGCUCUGUCGUGGGGUGACGAUAAUGACGGUAGGUAACUACAGUACCCCAAGAGGAAGCACCGGCUAACUCUGUGCCAGCAGCCGCGGUAAUACAGAGGGUGCUAGCGUUGUUCGGAAUUAUUGGGCGUAAAGGGUGCGUAGGCGGUCUUUUAAGUCAAUUGCGAAAUUCUGAGGCUUAACCUCAGCGCUGUAAUUGAUACUACUAGACUAGAAUAUGGAAGGGGUAGAUGGAAUUUUCAGUGUAAGAGUGAAAUCUAUAGAUAUUGAAAGGAACACCAGAGGCGAAAGCGAUCUACUGGGACAUUAUUGACGCUGAGGCACGA